Molecule: unclassified non-coding RNA, 371 nt
Filed under: uncultured bacterium
Lineage: Bacteria
Description: contains 16S-23S intergenic spacer region
Source: RNAcentral
UCCGGCUUAACGCCGGCAGUCCCCCUAGAGUGCCCAACUGAAUGGUGGCAACUAAGGACAGGGGUUGCGCUCGUUGCGCCACUUAAGGCAACACCUCACGGCACGAGCUGACGACAGCCAUGCACCACCUGUGCAGGCUCCGAAGAGCGCCCGCUUUCACGGGUUCCACCCUGCAUGUCAAACCCAGGUAAGGUUCUUCGCGUCGCAUCGAAUUAAACCACAUGCUCCACCGCUUGUGCAGGCCCCCGUCAAUUUCUUUGAGUUUUAGCCUUGCGACCGUACUCCCCAGGCGGAAUGCUUAAAGCGUUAGCUGCGCCACUAGUGAGUAAACCCACUAACGGCUGGCAUUCAUCGUUUACGGCGUGGACUAC